AAUAUUGUACAAUGAGGGCAACCCUGAUCCAGCCAUCCGGCUUGUGUGAAGAAGGCCUUCGGAUUGUAAAGCACUUUAAUUUGGGAGGAAGGGCUUUAGGUUAAUACACUUAAGUUGUGACGUUAGCAACAGAUUAAGCACACUCUAACUCUGCACCAGCAGCCGCGGUAAUACAGAGGGUGCAAGCAGUCAUCGGAAUUACUGGGCGUAAAACGGGCGUAGUUGGUUCAGUAAGAUGGGUGUGAAAUACCCGGGCUUAACCUGGGAACUGCUUUCAUAACUGCUGAGCUAGAGUACGGUAGAGGGUAGUGGAAUUUCCUGUGUAGCGGUGAAAUGCGUAGAUAUAGGAAGGAACACCAGUGGCGAAGGCGACUACCUGGACUGAUACUGACACUGAGGUGCGAAAGCGUGGGGAGCAAAC
RNAcentral lists this ribosomal RNA (421 nucleotides) under uncultured bacterium. Its description in RNAcentral is "partial 16S ribosomal RNA". It matches the Rfam family "Bacterial small subunit ribosomal RNA", at positions 360 to 773 of the family's 1533-position model. The record is from RNAcentral.